This 1168-nucleotide long non-coding RNA is filed under the name Equus asinus (donkey). RNAcentral describes it as "lncRNA (ENSEASG00005036113.1)". The record is from RNAcentral. Lineage: Eukaryota; Metazoa; Chordata; Mammalia; Perissodactyla; Equidae.
AGAAAUUUUGCAGGUGCAAUUAAGUUAGCCAAUCAAUAAACCUAACAAUCGAGAGAUUAUCCAGGUGGGCCUGACUUAAUCAUAUAAACUCUUUAAAUCUGGGUGUAGAGGUUAGCGACAGAGAAAUCAGAUACUAGAUGCAUCCUUUCUGACUUGAAGAUGAAGGCAAUUUUGUGACAAGUGAUGCUGGUGGCAUGUAAGACCUGUAAGCAGGCCCCAGCUGACAGUCCGUUAGAAAGGAAACAGGGGCUGCAGUUCUCCAACUGCAAAACACGGAAUUUUGCUUGAAAUUUAACUUGGAAGCAGACUUUCUCCCAGAGCUUCUAGAUGAAAACUCAGCCUGGCCAACCCCUUGGUGUCAGCUUUGUGUUACCCUGAGCAGGUACCCAAGACAUAUGGUUCUGGACUGUGGACCCACGGAAAGGGUGAGCAUCCACAUCUACCACCCGUGACCAGACUUCUCCACCUGUUGGCGAGCUUAAGUUAAAGUUAUCAAUAUAUGCCCCAAAACAGCAAUCACCUGGAUGAGAAGCAGAUGACAUCUAAUGUAGACUGUGAAUCCCAAGACACAGACCAGACACAAUACACAGCCAAUGGGAUGCUCACAAGAUGCCAUUCACCCAACAAUAGCGAGCUUUGCACUCAUUCUCUCUUAAUGGUCUAUGAAGAGCAGGUGAGAAAUUCCUCAAACCUGCAUCUGGAUGUCUAUUUGCUACCCCUGAUCUUUGGGAUUAUAAACUCCAGCCUCCAAGAAGUGGUGCCUGAAAACCAGGGCCAGUGCCAGGGAAACUGCCUCCUAAGUGGACUGUGACACUUUAUAAACCAACCAGAGGGUGUCAUUUCAGUGCUCAAUUUUCUCCAUCCAUGAAAUAAAAAUAAAAAAUUUAUUAAAAAAUGUGACUACAGAAAAGAGACUCUUAGAAUUUUACUCUCAAACUGGAUCUUUCAUUAAUCAGAUUGAGACAAGAGCUGAUUGUCAGUGACGUGGUGAAAACCAGCAUGCUGUAGCAUCAGCUGCAGUGGACUGGAAGGAGCCACAGGUGGAAAGGGAAGCAUUGGCUUUUGCGGAAGCUCUAGAACUUGAAUGGAAUGAGGGGAAUGUUUAAGAUUGUGUAGAUCUGACUAAGUUAGAAGUCUUGAACAGAGAAUGACAGGCUCAAGUUAGUCA